CACGUAGGGUGCGAGCGUUGUCCGGAAUUAUUGGGCGUAAAGAGCUCGUAGGCGGUGUGUCGCGUCGGCCGUGAAAACCUGCAGCUUAACUGUGGGCUUGCGGUCGAUACGGGCAUCACUGGAGUUCGGCAGGGGAGACUGGAAUUCCUGGUGUAGCGGUGAAAUGCGUAGAUAUCGGAAGGAACAUCAGUGGCGAAGGCGACUUCCUGGACCAAUACUGACGCUGAGGUGCGAAAGCGUGGGGAGCAAACAGG
Molecule: ribosomal RNA, 254 nt
Filed under: uncultured bacterium
Lineage: Bacteria
Description: partial 16S ribosomal RNA
Rfam family: Bacterial small subunit ribosomal RNA
Source: RNAcentral